UACAGAGGUCCCGAGCGUUGUUCGGAUUCAUUGGGCGUAAAGGGUGCGUAGGCGGUAGGGUAAGUUGGAUGUGAAAUGCCGGAGCUCAACUCCGGAACUGCAUUCAAUACUGCUCUGCUAGAGUACUGGAGGGGAGAUUGGAAUUCACGGUGUAGCAGUGAAAUGCGUAGAUAUCGUGAGGAAGACCAGUGGCGAAGGCGAAUCUCUGGACAGUAACUGACGCUGAGGCACGAAGGCUAGGGGAGCAAACGGG
This 253-nucleotide ribosomal RNA is filed under the name uncultured bacterium. RNAcentral's name for it is "partial 16S ribosomal RNA". It matches the Rfam family "Bacterial small subunit ribosomal RNA", at positions 524 to 776 of the family's 1533-position model. The record is from RNAcentral.